This is a small nucleolar RNA of 93 nucleotides. Its record names the gene SNORD116. It matches the Rfam family "Small nucleolar RNA SNORD116". Rfam says of the family: HBII-85 is a member of the C/D class of snoRNAs, which contain the C (UGAUGA) and D (CUGA) box motifs. HBII-85 is encoded in a tandemly repeated array with another C/D snoRNA, HBII-52, in the Prader-Willi syndrome (PWS) region of chromosome 15. Unlike most other snoRNAs, HBII-85 is expressed prevalently in the brain (but is absent in PWS patients) and lacks any significant complementarity with ribosomal RNA. The record is from Ensembl.
AGAUUGAUGAUGCCUCCAUCAACACCAUUCCGUGGAAAGCUGAACAAAAAGAGUGAGAACUCACUAUAGUCAUUCUCAUCGAAAUUGAGAUCC